UACGAAGGGAGCGAGCGUUGUUCGGAAUCACUGGGCGUAAAGCGUGCGUAGGCGGUUUUGUAAGUAAGAAGUGAAAGCCUGGGGCUUAACCUCAGAAUUGCUUUUAGACUGCAAACUGGAGUACUGGAGAGGUUAGUGGAAUUCCGAGUGUAGAGGUGAAAUUCGCAGAUAUCAGGAGGAACACCAAUGGCGAAGGCAGCUCGCUGGGACGUGACUGACGCUGAGACGCGAAAGCGUGGGGAGCAAACAGG
This 251-nucleotide ribosomal RNA is filed under the name uncultured bacterium. RNAcentral's name for it is "partial 16S ribosomal RNA". It matches the Rfam family "Bacterial small subunit ribosomal RNA", at positions 524 to 776 of the family's 1533-position model. The record is from RNAcentral.